RNAcentral lists this ribosomal RNA (465 nucleotides) under uncultured bacterium. RNAcentral describes it as "partial 16S ribosomal RNA". It matches the Rfam family "Bacterial small subunit ribosomal RNA", at positions 338 to 795 of the family's 1533-position model. The record is from RNAcentral.
CCUACGGGGGGCUGCAGUGGGGAAUAUUGCGCAAUGGGCGAAAGCCUGACGCAGCGACGCCGCGUGAGGGAUGAAGGUCUUCGGAUCGUAAACCUCUGUCAGCAGGGAAGAACGGUCACUGUGCUAAUCAGCAGUGAAUUGACGGUACCUGCAAAGGAAGCACCGGCUAACUCCGUGCCAGCAGCCGCGGUAAUACGGAGGGUGCGUGCGUUAAUCGGAAUUACUGGGCGUAAAGCGCUCGUAGGCGGUAUGUCAAGUCAAGGGUGAAAUCCCCGCGCUCAACGUGGGAACUGCCUUUGAAACUGGCAAACUGGAGUGUGUGAGAGGAAGGUGGAAUGCCAGGUGUAGGAGUGAAAUGCGUAGAUAUCUGGAGGAACAUCAGUGGCGAAGGCGACUAUCUGGCACAUAACUGACGCUGAGGAGCGAAAGCGUGGGUAGCAAACAGGAUUAGAUACCCGGGUAGUC